UGACCAUUACGGUCCAAGGACAGGUAAGCCCUAAAUGCGAAGGAGUGUUGGUUUUCCCCAAGCAAUUGGUGUGAUCUCUGUUUCUUCCCUAGCAGCUUUUCAGCUUCCAUCCGAGUUUUAACGGUUCCCUCAGCUGAGUUCAUAAUUGCCUCCCUUGGGUUGUAGGCCCGUUAUUUCAGUAGUUGGCACAGAUUCAGUAGAAUUUUGUUUCCCGCAAGUCUCCAUUGGAGUUAUC
Molecule: long non-coding RNA, 235 nt
Filed under: Lathyrus oleraceus (garden pea)
Lineage: Eukaryota; Viridiplantae; Streptophyta; Magnoliopsida; Fabales; Fabaceae
Description: Pisum sativum (pea) long non-coding RNA (PSAT_LNC030435)
Source: RNAcentral